UUGUUAUUUAAUCUAGAAUGUAUUGUUUUGUUGUAUUUCUUUAGAAAAUUGGUAAAUUCCAUUUGUCCAGCAGGCCAUUGGAACAUGUCUGUACUGACAGAUUUUGAGGCUCUCUGUUAUGCUCUCAAGGCCAUUUGGUUUUGCUUUGUCAAAUCCCACAGCCAGUUGCCCAAGAAAGAAAUAUGAAACAGAAGUCACUCCACCUGAGUCAGAUGAGAUUACCCCAACACCAACAAUC
This is a long non-coding RNA of Triplophysa rosa, 238 nucleotides long. RefSeq lists it as uncharacterized. Lineage: Eukaryota; Metazoa; Chordata; Actinopteri; Cypriniformes; Nemacheilidae. The record is from RefSeq and is a predicted model, not a curated record. The transcript has 3 exons.